RNAcentral lists this ribosomal RNA (497 nucleotides) under uncultured bacterium. RNAcentral describes it as "partial 16S ribosomal RNA". It matches the Rfam family "Bacterial small subunit ribosomal RNA", at positions 28 to 507 of the family's 1533-position model. The record is from RNAcentral.
GAUGAACGCUGGCGGCGUGCCUAAUACAUGCAAGUCGAGCGAACAGACGAGGAGCUUGCUCCUCUGACGUUAGCGGCGGACGGGUGAGUAACACGUGGAUAACCUACCUAUAAGACUGGGAUAACUUCGGGAAACCGGAGCUAAUACCGGAUAAUAUAUUGAACCGCAUGGUUCAAUAGUGAAAGACGGGUUUGCUGUCACUUAUAGAUGGAUCCGCGCCGCAUUAGCUAGUUGGUAAGGUAACGGCUUACCAAGGCGACGAUGCGUAGCCGACCUGAGAGGGUGAUCGGCCACACUGGAACUGAGACACGGUCCAGACUCCUACGGGAGGCAGCAGUAGGGAAUCUUCCGCAAUGGGCGAAGGCCUGACGGAGCAACGCCGCGUGAGUGAUGAAGGUCUUCGGAUCGUAAAACUCUGUUAUUAGGGAAGAACAAAUGUGUAAGUAACUAUGCACGUCUUGACGGUACCUAAUCAGAAAGCCACGGCUAACUACGUG